GGGGCGGUAGUUCAACGGUAGAAUCGAGGUCUCCAAAACCUUUGAUGAGGGUUCGAUUCCUUCCCGCCCUG
RNAcentral lists this transfer RNA (71 nucleotides) under Candidatus Woesebacteria bacterium. Its description in RNAcentral is "tRNA-Trp". It matches the Rfam family "tRNA". From Rfam's summary of the family: Transfer RNA (tRNA) molecules are approximately 80 nucleotides in length. Lineage: Bacteria; Candidatus Woeseibacteriota. The record is from RNAcentral. RNAcentral also lists the same sequence under 1 other name.